RNAcentral lists this ribosomal RNA (215 nucleotides) under Campeiostachys nutans. RNAcentral describes it as "Elymus nutans partial small subunit ribosomal RNA". The stretch from base 37 to 215 matches the Rfam family "Eukaryotic small subunit ribosomal RNA", at positions 684 to 864 of the family's 1831-position model. The record is from RNAcentral. Lineage: Eukaryota; Viridiplantae; Streptophyta; Magnoliopsida; Poales; Poaceae.
GGAUCAAAUUGUCGGUCGUGCCUCGGUACGCACUGGUAUUAUUGGUUCCUACCUUCUGAAGAACCGCGAUGUCAUUAAUUUGGUGUCGUGGGGAAUCAGGACUGUUACUUUGAAAAAAUUAGAGUGUUCAAAGCAGGCUUACGCCCGAAUACAUUAGCAUGGAAUAAUAAAAUAGGACGUUUGAUUCUAUUUUGUUGGUUUCUAGGAUUGACGCA